UCUGUGCUAGGAAUUGUGUCACAGUUUAUUACAAUUGUGUGUGGUAAACCGGCUAUUCAAGUUGAUGAAAGUGAUAAUAAAUGCCAGAAAACACACUCAGAUGCUUCGCUGUCGUUUCCUGAUCGAUAACUAGUCUCUUACAGUUGUGACCCGUUACACAAAGACAACAAGGACAUGGCAGCCAGAACAUCCAUCUGUGCCUGCCCCCAGGUCAACAUCUACCAUGGCUCAAGGGCCUUCACCAGAGCCAUCACCACCAAGGACCAGAGGACCAGCAUCACUACAGCUGCCACCACGUCAAGAUCUACCGUGG
Molecule: long non-coding RNA, 313 nt
Organism: Trematomus bernacchii (emerald rockcod)
Lineage: Eukaryota; Metazoa; Chordata; Actinopteri; Perciformes; Nototheniidae
Exons: 3
Source: RefSeq, a predicted model, not a curated record